AACGAACGCUGGCGGCAGGCCUAACACAUGCAAGUCGAACGCUCCGCAAGGGGGAGUGGCGCACGGGUGAGUAACACGUGGGAACCUACCUUCUGGUACGGAACAACCAAGGGAAACUUUGGCUAAGACCGUAUACGACCUCCGGGUGAAAGAUUGAUCGCCGGAAGAGGGGCCCGCGUCCGAUUAGGUAGUUGGUGAGGUAACGGCUCACCAAGCCUUCGAUCGGUAGCUGGUCUGAGAGGAUGACCAGCCACACUGGGACUGAGACACGGCCCAGACUCCUACGGGAGGCAGCAGUGGGGAAUAUUGGACAAUGGGCGCAAGCCUGAUCCAGCCAUGCCGCGUGAGUGACGAAGGUCUUCGGAUUGUAAAACUC
RNAcentral lists this ribosomal RNA (376 nucleotides) under uncultured bacterium. Its description in RNAcentral is "bacterial SSU rRNA". It matches the Rfam family "Bacterial small subunit ribosomal RNA", at positions 29 to 433 of the family's 1533-position model. The record is from RNAcentral.